RNAcentral lists this long non-coding RNA (2144 nucleotides) under Homo sapiens (human). RNAcentral describes it as "HSALNT0059305". The record is from RNAcentral. Lineage: Eukaryota; Metazoa; Chordata; Mammalia; Primates; Hominidae.
CAAUUUCCUUUGAACACACUCAUUUUCUGAUUGAAGAGAAUACAGAGAAUGUGGAUUUUCCUGGUGCCAAGUUGUUCUUCCAUUCCUCGGCCAAGUUUCCAUUCUGAUUAACUCAAGAUUCACUUGGAACCCUUUCCUUGCUAUGGCCAUUAAUCCUAAACUGCUUUAUCAGGAACUUGGCCCAAUCUGAGUUAGUUUCCUUCCUUGGAUACCUGCCUUAAACCAGAUCCUCAAACCUCAUAAAUAUCCCUCCUAGAAAAUAAGACUCUGUCAAGGGAGUAUUCUUUCUUAUUUCAGUAGGCAAUGAACUUGAUGCUGUUUUAUCAACAAGUUGAUUAAGUGAUGAUUAGGGUAUCAGUAAUCAACAUUGAUUUGAACCCUGGCUAGCUACAACACUUCCUAGCUGUGUGAUCUUGGGAAACAUUUCUGAGAUGGUUAAUACUGAGUGUCAACUUGAUUGGACUGAAGGAUGUAAAGUAUUGUUCCUGGGUGUGUCUGUAAGGGUGUUGCCAAAGGAGAUCAAUGGACUGGGAGAGGCAGACCCACCCUCAAUCUGGGUGGGCACCAUCUAACCAACUGCUAGCGUGGCUAGAAUAAAGCAGGCAGAAGGACGUGGAAGGACUUGACUUCCUGAAUCUUCUGGUCCUCAUCUUUUCCCCGUGCUGGAUGCUUGCUGCCCUCAAACAUCGGACUCCAAGUUCUUCAGCUUUGGGACUCUUGGACUUACAAGCUCUCUGGCCUUCGGCAACAGACUGAAGGCUGCACUUUCGGAUUCCCUACUUUUGAGAUUUUGGGACUCAGACUGGCUUCCUGGUUCCUCAGCUUGCAGACGGCCUAUUGUAGGACUUCACAAGUCUCACCUCAUAGCCUAUUCAUUACCGCUGAAAGUGAUUCAGAUUGUCAAGGCCCAUCUUCUAUACAGCGCUUCCCAAAGUGACGUCGGUAGACCAGUACCAGUAAGAAAACUGUUUCUAGUCUGAUAAGAUAAUCCUCUCUCCACAACUUGAUAAUGCACAAACUGCAAAUCUUCUGGUACUCACUGCUGCAAGCAAACUUGAAGUCUUUCUGAGCCUGACUCUUCAUUCCUGCCUUGUGUGACCCAGGGAUGGAGGACUGCCCUCCCAACUCAUUAUCCUCUUUGCCCAGGAGCUGUACAUACAAAGGUGGUGAUUCCAAAGAAUUAGAGCAAACAAGCUGGAGCUGGAAUCUGUCCUGUUAUAAAAAAUCUGUUCCGCCCAAUCACGAGAAUGUAUGGGUCAAGGUUACAGCCAAUGCCUGCAAAUCACCACCGUGUGUUUCAUUGAAGAAAGUGCCCUGCUCAACCUCAAAUUCUUAUCUUUCAAAUGAUGAAGAAAAUGUCACCUUAUGGACAUCAUCAAAAUCUUCUUUCUGUAAUUGAAAUGGAAUUAAAAGUGAUUUCCUUGGUUUACAGCAAUAGCUAUAAAAUAAACCAAGCUGUCUCUUUGUUUAUUCUUCAGAAAAGUGAAACACUUGAGUUACAAGGAAUAAUCAGAGACUAAUGCCAAGACAUCCCUGAGAGUCCUCCAGAAUGAUGGAGAACCACAUUCCAUCUCUCUAAAUUGGGAGCAUAUUGUAGCUUUGCAGCAUAGCAAUAGGAGGUAUCUUUCUGGGUCAUGGCUUGAUGUUGCAGAAGUGGCAGUGGAGCCUCCAAAAUCCCUGCCUUCCUCAUCCCUUCCAGCUCCACAGGGCUCUGGAGAGGCAGACAAGGUUCUGCAAUGCUCACCUCAAAAACAGUGCUGUAGGAAGCACUUGGCGGGGUACUGCAGUCAUAAACACUCCGGGAUUCCAAGAUCCUGACAGAUGCCUAUGUCACCAAAACUCAAAUUUUAUACUUGGCUUCAUGUGAUACUCUUUUUUAUGAUGCAUAUAUGAUAUGGAACAACUGCUGCUAUGGAAUCACCCAGAAUAAAAGUGACCCUCUUGGAAAUGCCUCCAUGUAUGUGUGAGUGAGUGAGUGACAAGCUGUGACUUGUACUGUCUACUCUGUGUAGCACCUGGGAAAUGUGUCCACCUUGCUCCUUGUCACAGUCUGACUGUGGCUACACUACGCGUCGGUGAUCACUGUCCAUCGGGCAGAAACUCUCUCCUGAUUCUUGCAUGAAAAAAACACUAGUUCAUUCAUC